AGAGUUUGAUUCUGGCUCAGGAUGAACGCUGGCGGCGUGCUUAACACAUGCAAGUCGAGCGAAGCAAUUUAAGUGAAGUUUUCGGAUGGAUCUUAAAUUGACUGAGCGGCGGACGGGUGAGUAACGCGUGGAUAACCUGCCUCACACAGGGGGAUAACAGUUAGAAACGACUGCUAAUACCGCAUAAGCGCACAGGAUCGCAUGGUCCGGUGUGAAAAACUCCGGUGGUAUGAGAUGGACCCGCGUCUGAUUAGCCAGUUGGCAGGGUAACGGCCUACCAAAGCGACGAUCAGUAGCCGACCUGAGAGGGUGACCGGCCACAUUGGGACUGAGACACGGCCCAA
RNAcentral lists this ribosomal RNA (344 nucleotides) under uncultured bacterium. RNAcentral describes it as "bacterial SSU rRNA". It matches the Rfam family "Bacterial small subunit ribosomal RNA", at positions 8 to 334 of the family's 1533-position model. The record is from RNAcentral.